GGGAGUGUAACUCAAGGGAAUAGAGUCCCGAUCUUCUAAAUCGGUUCGUGUAGGUUCGAGUCCUGCCACUCCCG
Molecule: transfer RNA, 74 nt
Filed under: Oxynema mangrovii CENA135
Lineage: Bacteria; Bacillati; Cyanobacteriota; Cyanophyceae; Oscillatoriales; Oscillatoriaceae
Description: tRNA-Arg
Rfam family: tRNA
About the family: Transfer RNA (tRNA) molecules are approximately 80 nucleotides in length. Their secondary structure includes four short double-helical elements and three loops (D, anti-codon, and T loops).
Source: RNAcentral